Molecule: ribosomal RNA, 253 nt
Filed under: uncultured bacterium
Lineage: Bacteria
Description: partial 16S ribosomal RNA
Rfam family: Bacterial small subunit ribosomal RNA
Source: RNAcentral
UACGUAGGGUGCGAGCGUUAAUCGGAAUUACUGGGCGUAGAGCGUGCGCAGGCGGUUUUGUAAGCCAGAUGUGAAAUCCCCGGGCUUAACCUGGGAAUGGCAUUUGGGACUGCAAGGCUCGAGUGCGGCAGAGGAGACUGGAAUUCCUGGUGUAGCAGUGAAAUGCGUAGAUAUCAGGAGGAACACCGAUGGCGAAGGCAGGUCUCUGGGCUGACACUGACGCUCAUGCACGAAAGCGUGGGGAGCAAACAGG